CGUAGGGCGCAAGCGUUAUCCGGAAUUAUUGGGCGUAAAGAGCUCGUAGGCGGUUUGUCGCGUCUGCUGUGAAAUCCCGAGGCUCAACCUCGGGCCUGCAGUGGGUACGGGCAGACUAGAGUGCGGUAGGGGAGAUUGGAAUUCCUGGUGUAGCGGUGGAAUGCGCAGAUAUCAGGAGGAACACCGAUGGCGAAGGCAGAUCUCUGGGCCGUAACUGACGCUGAGGAGCGAAAGGGUGGGAGCAAACAGGCUU
This 253-nucleotide ribosomal RNA is filed under the name uncultured bacterium. Its description in RNAcentral is "partial 16S ribosomal RNA". It matches the Rfam family "Bacterial small subunit ribosomal RNA", at positions 526 to 779 of the family's 1533-position model. The record is from RNAcentral.